GUGCUCAUUUUCACAGCACGUGUACAAAAAUUGGAAUGAUACAGAGAUUAGCAUUGUCCCUGCACAAGGAUGACAACCAAAUUCAUGAUGCAGUCCACAUUAAA
Jaculus jaculus (lesser Egyptian jerboa) is the source of this 104-nucleotide small nuclear RNA. The record is from Ensembl. Lineage: Eukaryota; Metazoa; Chordata; Mammalia; Rodentia; Dipodidae.